Molecule: transfer RNA, 85 nt
Filed under: Marchantia polymorpha subsp. ruderalis
Lineage: Eukaryota; Viridiplantae; Streptophyta; Marchantiopsida; Marchantiales; Marchantiaceae
Rfam family: tRNA
About the family: Transfer RNA (tRNA) molecules are approximately 80 nucleotides in length. Their secondary structure includes four short double-helical elements and three loops (D, anti-codon, and T loops). Further hydrogen bonds mediate the characteristic L-shaped molecular structure. tRNAs have two regions of fundamental functional importance: the anti-codon, which is responsible for specific mRNA codon recognition, and the 3' end, to which the tRNAs corresponding amino acid is attached (by aminoacyl-tRNA synthetases). tRNAs cope with the degeneracy of the genetic code in two manners: having more than one tRNA (with a specific anti-codon) for a particular amino acid; and 'wobble' base-pairing, i.e. permitting non-standard base-pairing at the 3rd anti-codon position.
Source: Rfam by way of RNAcentral
GGACAUAUGGCUGAGUGGCUGAAGGCAUCUAUCUUGAAAAUAGAGGUACUACCCAGUACCAAGGGUUCGAACCCCUUUGUGUCCA